Molecule: ribosomal RNA, 464 nt
Filed under: uncultured bacterium
Lineage: Bacteria
Description: partial 16S ribosomal RNA
Rfam family: Bacterial small subunit ribosomal RNA
Source: RNAcentral
GACGAACGCUGGCGGCGUGCUUAACACAUGCAAGUCGAGCGGAAAGGCCCUUUCGGGGGUACUCGAGCGGCGGACGGGUGAGUAACACGUGAGUAAUCUGCCCUUCACUUGGGGAUUACCUCCGGAAACGGUGGCUAAUACCCGAUACGACCAUUCCUCUCAUCAGGUGGUGGUGGAAAGUUUUUCGGUUGGGGAUGUGCUCGCGGCCUAUCAGCUUGUUGGUGGGGUAAUGGCCUACCAAGGCUUCGACGGGUAGCCGGCCUGGGAGGGUGACCGGCGACACUGGGACUGAGACACGGCGCAGAAUCCAACGGGAGGCAGCAGUGGAGAACAUUGGACAAUGGGCGGAAGCCUGAUACAGCAACGCCGCGUGCGGGAUAACGGCCUUCGGGUUGUAAACCUAUUUCUCCUGUGACGAAGCGAAAGUGACGGUAGCAAGAGAAGAAGCACCGGCUAACUACGUG